RNAcentral lists this ribosomal RNA (486 nucleotides) under uncultured bacterium. Its description in RNAcentral is "bacterial SSU rRNA". It matches the Rfam family "Bacterial small subunit ribosomal RNA", at positions 28 to 526 of the family's 1533-position model. The record is from RNAcentral.
GAUGAACGCUGGCGGCGUGCUUAACACAUGCAAGUCGAACGGUGAAGCCCAGCUUGCUGGGUGGAUCAGUGGCGAACGGGUGAGUAACACGUGAGCAACCUGCCCCUGACUCUGGGAUAAGCGCUGGAAACGGCGUCUAAUACCGGAUAUGAGACACAAUCGCAUGGUUCGUGUUUGGAAAGAUUUUUCGGUUGGGGAUGGGCUCGCGGCCUAUCAGCUUGUUGGUGAGGUAAUGGCUCACCAAGGCGUCGACGGGUAGCCGGCCUGAGAGGGUGACCGGCCACACUGGGACUGAGACACGGCCCAGACUCCUACGGGAGGCAGCAGUGGGGAAUAUUGCACAAUGGGCGAAAGCCUGAUGCAGCAACGCCGCGUGAGGGACGACGGCCUUCGGGUUGUAAACCUCUUUUAGCAAGGAAGAAGCGAAAGUGACGGUACUUGCAGAAAAAGCGCCGGCUAACUACGUGCCAGCAGCCGCCGUAACAC